This is a long non-coding RNA of Astatotilapia calliptera (eastern happy), 1048 nucleotides long. The record is from Ensembl. NCBI's taxonomy places the organism in Eukaryota, Metazoa, Chordata, Actinopteri, Cichliformes, Cichlidae.
GAAAAUUAGCUUGUUAUCUCUCAUCAGUGUUAAAAUAGUGGGAAUUUAACAGACACUUGUUAUCAAAUACUGAAUUUAUCCAAUGCAAAAAAAUUGACUCUCUAGGUUGCAGGACAACAGUUUAACUUUUGUGGGAAAAAAGAUUCUGGUUUGACCAACCAGUGAUCAGACAAUAAAUUUAGUUGUUGAUAUAGUAAAUUGGGAGAAGCUUCCUGCUUGAUUGAUGCAGCACAAGUAAUUAGGGUUAUGUUGUGUGUUGUGCAGCUGAUGGUUGGUUUGGAGUGAAUCUAGCUGAUGAUUUUUCUUUUGUUGUGAAGUUGAGCCUGCCAAUUAGUGUGAUGGUAUGAUGAACCAUGCUAAUGGUAUGAUUUACCCUCCUGAGAUGAGGAGCUUGUGUCAUGACUUAACAAGGCCUUUUUAUUUUGAUACUUUCACAGUGCACUGAAAGUUUUGUUUGAUAAUUUCUGUUAUUUUUCAUUUUUUUUUCAACAGGCACUGAUUUUUGUUUGUCAAUUUCUUUUCUUUAAGCAGAUCUACACGUCGGGAAUUAAAAGUGCUAUACGACAUUUUGAGAAAACCGUUACAAGUGAGUUUCUCCACAUUAAAAUGGGCUCUGGAGAAAGCCACUUAUUUGGGACAAUUAGAAAAUGAGAGUCCCUCCCUAAAAAGGAUUCAGCGAGGAAAUCCGAUCUAAAGUUCUUCUUUUUCUUUUGAAAUGACGCCAUUUUGCUGAAAGUGGAAACUAAAUGCGACGAUGGUUUCCACUAUCAGCAAAGAAAGAAUGAAUGAAUGAAUGGAAAUAAAAAAAAAAACAAACUGACUGACUGGUAAAAGCUGACAAGACUUGACCACGACUCAAGGUUAACCUCCACCUCGACAGGACAAAGGGUGGAUGAAUUUAUGUUCCUGUUACAGGAGCAGAAAGAUGACAGCCACAUUCGAGGUUGCAUGACGAUUUAACCUUUUAAUUAAAUGCCAUUUUCUGUGUCUGUGCAUCUACCAGGGGUGUUAUUCACUACCUUGUGUUGCUCACAGAGGAAACUGUGAC